AGGGACAAAUAAGACUCAAUCGCGUGGGACAUCAUCGUUACAGAGACAGCCAGGAGGUUUGCCUAGAAGCAGCCACCCUUGAAAGAGUGCGUAAUAGCUCACUGAUCGAGCGCUCUUGCACCGAAGAUGAACGGGCUAAGCAAUCUGCCGAA
This 152-nucleotide non-coding RNA is filed under the name Nelumbo nucifera (sacred lotus). RNAcentral describes it as "Bacterial large subunit ribosomal RNA". It matches the Rfam family "Bacterial large subunit ribosomal RNA", at positions 1042 to 1198 of the family's 2925-position model. Lineage: Eukaryota; Viridiplantae; Streptophyta; Magnoliopsida; Proteales; Nelumbonaceae. The record is from Rfam by way of RNAcentral.